This 106-nucleotide small nuclear RNA is filed under the name Carlito syrichta (Philippine tarsier). The record is from RNAcentral. Lineage: Eukaryota; Metazoa; Chordata; Mammalia; Primates; Tarsiidae.
GUGCUCACUUCAGCAGCACAUGUACUAAUGCUGGAAUGAUACUGAGAUGAUUGCAUGGCCCCUGCAUAAGGAUGACAUGUAAAUUCAUGAAGCAUUCCAUACGUUU